UAGGGAAUCUUCCGCAAUGGACGCAAGUCUGACGGAGCAACGCCGCGUGAGUGAAGAAGGAUUUCGGUUCGUAAAACUCUGUUGUUAGAGAAGAACAGCGCAUAGAGUAACUGUUAUGCGUGUGACGGUAUCUAACCAGAAAGCCACGGCUAACUACGUGCCAGCAUCCGCGGUAAUACGUAGGUGGCAAGCGUUGUCCGGAUUUAUUGGGCGUAAAGCGAGCGCAGGCGGUCAAUUAAGUCUGAUGUGAAAGCCCCCGGCUCAACCGGGGAGGGUCAUUGGAAACUGGUUGACUUGAGUGCAGAAGAGGAGAGUGGAAUUCCAUGUGUAGCGGUGAAAUGCGUAGAUAUAUGGAGGAACACCAGUGGCGAAGGCGACUCUCUGGUCUGUAACUGACGCUGAGGCUCGAAAGCGUGGGUAGCAAACAGG
This 429-nucleotide ribosomal RNA is filed under the name Bacteroidota bacterium. RNAcentral's name for it is "Bacteroidetes bacterium partial 16S ribosomal RNA". It matches the Rfam family "Bacterial small subunit ribosomal RNA", at positions 355 to 776 of the family's 1533-position model. Lineage: Bacteria; Pseudomonadati; Bacteroidota. The record is from RNAcentral.